CGCCCACACGCCCGACCGGCCUCAGGGGGCUGUGGCGGCGACCGGCUCCGCGCUGGGGCCCUACCCGCUGCCCUGGCGGGUGGGGCGGAGCAGGUGGGGGGCGCCGCCGUGUUAGUUACCGCCUCGGGGCGCUGAGGUGCAGGCAGUGUGGAGGAGGAAGCCGGCUGUGGUAGUGGAGACAUGAGAGCUGUGAAGUGCAAGAAGCAGCCGUGUGAGAGGACGAGGACCCAGGGGAGGAAGGUCUCGAUGUGCCACUGGUAGGUGGGUGUAGCAGUGGUGGGACCUGAAUGACAGCGGGACUAAAGCUGGGACUAAACCUCUGCCUCAGUGGUUCGGCACAGCCUGGAGCCGGAUGAGGUGCGAGGGAAACCUACUUGGGUUGAUGUGAGGCAAAAUGAGCGGAGCGAGCAUAGGGCUUAAGGUGGGGUGAUACCCAGAAAAUAGAUGGAAGGAGGAAAAGGGCGUGGAAUAAAGUCUUCCUUGACAGGGAGAUCGUUUGGUUACACGAGAUUGGGGGAAAAUGAGAUCUGUAGGCUUUUGGAGAGGAUGUGGAUUUGGGUAGAGAACCAGGGAGAACUUGGAAUUGAGUGAAAAACUAGAGUGGGGACUUACAAAGUAUGAAAACAUAUGUGGGCUGUAGGAGGGAGGUUGUGAUAGAGCACAAGACUUCAAGCUUUCUGGAGCUGUAGGUUCCUAUAUGUUAUUGACCUUUUGCUGUCUUGACUGUUUUAUGCCCCAACUUGGCUACCACUGACUGGAAGGUGGGCUGCAGUUCUGAAGCACUCGGACACUACUGUGAAGAUUCCUGUAUUCCGUGAAGAGUGAAGCACCUCAGUGAAGAUGAAGUAGGGAAUUAAAAAAAGCCUGAAGAGAACAAAAGAAGAUGAGCACUGUUUGUUGUGAACAUAAGCUGAAGUCUUGAAGAGAGUGAAAAAGCGACAAAGUUCAGACUUUUUAUGAUGUGUGACACAAGGAGAUUUAAUUGUGUUUAUAUGGCAGUUUUCUAGUAUCUGACCCUGGUUCUGUUGUGGUUCUUCCAACAUAGAGCUUUAACAAUUAGAAGAAUCCAAUUUCUGUGGCGCUCAUUUCUUUAUGAAAUACUUUGUCAGGCUUAACUUUCUUCAGUGGUCUGAUACUGUUAAAUGAUCGGACCGCUGUUGUGAUAUAUGUUCUCUUUUCCUGUUAUGUGAAUGCUUUUUUCAUUUUAUGUAAAUAAUUCUUGUACCAAACAUAACAUGUCUUAAGCAUUUCACUUUUUAAAAAUAGUAAAAAAAAGCCAGUCUUGGCAAAAGUUAAUAAGCUUCUUGACUAGCAUCUACAUGCAAAUGUUUUCUCUCUCCAUAGCUUGUAAUGAGCUUUUUCCCUCCAUCCACCACUUGGGUUUCUUGUAGUGUUGGGUUUCAGGAUUUGACACAAAUGAUGAAAGAAGGGAUUUCAGGAAUAUCAUUCUUCAGUUUGUGAGAUUCUGAUUCAGCCUGGUGUGAGUUUUCAGUGGAUCAAGUGGAUGUUAAUUCCUGUCAUACGACUACAGUCAUAAAACUCUAAUCUUGAGCCAUAUCUUGUGAUUUAAUAUAAGAAUUAUUUUUUAACUUUUUUUUUUUUUU
Long non-coding RNA from Columba livia (rock pigeon), 1604 nucleotides. RefSeq lists it as uncharacterized. The record is from RefSeq and is a predicted model, not a curated record. NCBI's taxonomy places the organism in Eukaryota, Metazoa, Chordata, Aves, Columbiformes, Columbidae. The transcript has 2 exons.